AAGUAUUAAAAUAAAAUCUGAAAAGAAAAGAAAAACAAAAAGAAAUAAAAUGGACUCAAGUGGCAAAAGGGGUGCAUCAACAAAGUGAACAUGAACUGAAGAAUACUUAAACACGCAAAUGGGCCCAAAAGCUGGGGGUGGGAAAAGUAAGCGCGCCAGAAUUAUGAUCUAAUUCUAAUUAAAAUCUGAUUUUAUUAAAGUGACAUUGAAAUAAAUAUUAAAAUGAACAAAAAAACAUGUGAACAUGACAUCAACUGAUUACACCCUACUUAGGUUACAAAAAG
RNAcentral lists this long non-coding RNA (284 nucleotides) under Lathyrus oleraceus (garden pea). RNAcentral's name for it is "Pisum sativum (pea) long non-coding RNA (PSAT_LNC005601)". The record is from RNAcentral. Lineage: Eukaryota; Viridiplantae; Streptophyta; Magnoliopsida; Fabales; Fabaceae.